Passer domesticus (house sparrow) is the source of this 1331-nucleotide long non-coding RNA. RefSeq lists it as uncharacterized. The transcript has 4 exons. Lineage: Eukaryota; Metazoa; Chordata; Aves; Passeriformes; Passeridae. The record is from RefSeq and is a predicted model, not a curated record.
CACCUUGAUUUGCUUCAGGAGUUGCUUUACUGUGAAGUUUCUGGCAGUUUCCUGAGACCCUCAGGCAUUUAGAGAAACCUUCUCUGAGCAGGAGCUCCACUCUGAGCACACAACUGGGACUUCAGUAGGUGCUUAGGCACCUUCUGAAGUGAAGCCUUAAAUGGUGGGGUUGUACCAAUAAAGGUUCUUCUAACAUAUUCCUCCUUGGACUGUGUGGAUCCAUUUCUCUUGGAUUUUGGGGACACCUACCAAGGAUACUUCUCAAAGAGAAGAGACCUGCCCACGAGUGUUGAAAUAUCCUGUCCCCACAGGUGAUUCAGGCUUCCUCAGGAGAAAGUGGAGGGGAUGCAGCUCAUUUCCCCUUGGUGCAAAUAAUGGAAGCAGCUGGAAGCUGUUGGGUGAGAGACAGCCCAGGACUGCUGCACACCACCUCUGAAUGCACCCUGGGGUGGCAUCUCUGUGUGAUGAGGACUUCUUACACUCUCCUAAUUAAUGGGAAUUUUGCCUAUUUUCCACCUAUCACACUGUGUUGUUUCAGUUUGGCAGAACUAUUCUCCACUGCAGGAUCAGAGAAUCACAAAAUUAUCCAAUCUGAAAGGGACCACAGCAGGGUCAUCUGUUCCCACCUCUUGCUCCAGCAGCUUCAUCCCAGACCACAGGCAUAGGAUUGUAUCCAGACAGUUCUGGAAUAUCUCCAGUGAGGUUGUACAUGGUCCUUAAUAGUGAAGGGGUUUCAUCAGGGUUGUUUUAGUGCCUAAGAGUGAGGUGCUCUCUGUUCUGCUCUGUAAAAACACCCAUGGUGAAAGUAUCUAGUACAAUCCCAGCCCUAUCUGGGACACAAUGAUUUGAGACCAUUUAAAACAGACAAGAAGAAAAUUACCUUGUUGCUGUACCUUUGCUGGGAUACAGCUCCAGGUACUGAGUGACUUGAGCAAGCUCCAAGUCUAUGAAAAGUUCGGAUAAUUUCAUGAAAAUGGAUCCAUCCUCCAUGCAUGACCAACUAAUGAGCAGCCCCAGCUGUCUCAGUCUCCAGAGAGGUUCCCCAUCCCCCUGAGAAUCUUUGUGGUCCUUCUCUGGACCUGCUCAAACAAUUCCACAUCCUUCCAGUGCUGGGAGCCCCAGGGCUGGAUGAGGUUUUACCAGAGCAGAGCAGAGGGGCAGAAUCCCCCCUCAGCUGCUGUCCACCCUGCUUUGGGUGCAGCCCAGGACAAAUUUGAUUUUCUGGGCUGUGAGUGCACAGCCAGGUCACGCCGAGUUCCUCAUCCACAACUUGCAGUGCCAGCAUGAAGCUCACAACCCAACUGGUUAGAGUUGAAGAGCUGAAGGUAUAG